This 452-nucleotide ribosomal RNA is filed under the name uncultured bacterium. RNAcentral's name for it is "bacterial SSU rRNA". It matches the Rfam family "Bacterial small subunit ribosomal RNA", at positions 340 to 784 of the family's 1533-position model. The record is from RNAcentral.
UACGGAAGGCAGCAGUGGGGAAUAUUGCACAAUGGGCGCAAGCCUGAUGCAGCCAUGCCGCGUGUAUGAAGAAGGCCUUCGGGUUGUAAAGUACUUUCAGUCGUGAGGAAGGUGUUAAGGUUAAUAACCUUAGCAAUUGACGUUAGCGACAGAAGAAGCACCGGCUAACUCCGUGCCAGCAGCCGCGGUAAUACGGAGGGUGCGAGCGUUAAUCGGAAUUACUGGGCGUAAAGGGCACGCAGGCGGUUAAUUAAGUUGGAUGUGAAAUCCCCGGGCUUAACCUGGGAAUGGCAUUCAAGACUGGUUAGCUAGAGUCUUGUAGAGGGGGUUAGAAUUCCAUGUGUAGCGGUGAAAUGCGUAGAGAUGUGGAGGAAUACCGGUGGCGAAGGCGGCCCCUGGACAAAGACUGACGCUCAUGUGCGAAAGCGUGGGGAGCAAACAGGGAUUAGAUA